AGGAGGAUGCUUCCAGUUAAUCCUUAAUAACACAGGAAGGUCUGAGCUGACUUCUCUCGUGAAGCGGACACACCGCUGGGAAAAUGAUCCGUUCUCAGCCAGCGGAGAAAAGAUGAAAAUAGCAGGUAUGUUGCCACCUCCGAGGAUCCGAGUUCACACUGUUCACUACAGAGAGAGCUGCGAAGAGACGCCGCGUGUGUGGGACUGACGCACAGAGAGA
Thunnus maccoyii (southern bluefin tuna) is the source of this 220-nucleotide long non-coding RNA. RefSeq lists it as uncharacterized. The record is from RefSeq and is a predicted model, not a curated record. The transcript is spliced from 3 exons. NCBI's taxonomy places the organism in Eukaryota, Metazoa, Chordata, Actinopteri, Scombriformes, Scombridae.